RNAcentral lists this ribosomal RNA (472 nucleotides) under uncultured bacterium. RNAcentral's name for it is "bacterial SSU rRNA". It matches the Rfam family "Bacterial small subunit ribosomal RNA", at positions 36 to 518 of the family's 1533-position model. The record is from RNAcentral.
CUGGCGGCGUGCUUAACACAUGCAAGUCGAACGAUGACGAUGGUGCUUGCACCGUCUGAUUAGUGGCGAACGGGUGAGUAACACGUGAGUAACCUGCCCUCCUCUUCGGGAUAACCGCCGGAAACGGUGGCUAAUACCGGAUAUGAAUGCCUGCCGCAUGGUGGGUGUUGGAAAGAUUUAUCGGUGGGGGAUGGACUCGCGGCCUAUCAGUUUGUUGGUGAGGUAAUGGCUCACCAAGGCGAUGACGGGUAGCCGGCCUGAGAGGGCGACCGGCCACACUGGGACUGAGACACGGCCCAGACUCCUAUGGGAGGCAGCAGUGGGGAAUAUUGCACAAUGGGCGAAAGCCUGAAUGCAGCGACGCCGCGUGGGGGAUGACGGCCUUCGGGUUGUAAACCUCUUUCAGUAGGGAAGAAGCGGGAGUGACGGUACCUGCAGAAGAAGCGCCGGCUAACUACGUGCCAGCAGCGGC